CCUACGGGAGGCAGCAGUGGGGAAUAUUGCACAAUGGGGGAAACCCUGAUGCAGCAACGCCGCGUGGGUGAAGAAGUAUUUCGGUAUGUAAAGCCCUAUCAGCAGGGAAGAGAAUGACGGUACUUGAACAAGAAGCCCCGGCUAACUACGUGCCAGCAGCCGCGGCAAUACGGAGGGGGCAAGCGUAAUCCGGAUUUGCUGGGUGUAAAGGGAGCGUAGGCGGUGGUGCAAGGCUGGAGUGAAAGCCACGGGCUGAACUGCGGAACGGCUUGGGAAACUGGGAGAUUGGAGUGAUGGAGAGGGAAGCGGAAUUCCCGGUGUAGCGGUGAAAUGCGUAGAGAUCAGGAGGAACACUGGCGGCGAAGGCGGCUUACUGGACAGUAACUGACGUUGAGGCUCGAAAGCGUGGGGAGCAAACAGGAUUAGAUACCCUUGUAGUC
RNAcentral lists this ribosomal RNA (440 nucleotides) under uncultured bacterium. Its description in RNAcentral is "partial 16S ribosomal RNA". It matches the Rfam family "Bacterial small subunit ribosomal RNA", at positions 338 to 795 of the family's 1533-position model. The record is from RNAcentral.